Small nucleolar RNA from Lepidothrix coronata (blue-crowned manakin), 140 nucleotides. The record is from Ensembl. Lineage: Eukaryota; Metazoa; Chordata; Aves; Passeriformes; Pipridae.
CGUUGUGGUGGUUUCUGUGUGUGGCAGAUCUGUGAGUGUAUCAGAACUGUACCAGAACUACCACAGAGAUCAGAAAGGAGAAGGCAGUGCUGAGAACUUGAAGCUUUAAGUUUUCAGCAAUUUGUUCAGCUCCUACAGAA